UGGGGAAUAUUGGACAAUGGGCGCAAGCCUGAUCCAGCCAUGCCGCGUGAGUGAUGAAGGCCCUAGGGUUGUAAAGCUCUUUCACCGGUGAAGAUAAUGACGGUAACCGGAGAAGAAGCCCCGGCUAACUUCGUGCCAGCAGCCGCGGUAAUACGAAGGGGGCUAGCGUUGUUCGGAUUUACUGGGCGUAAAGCGCACGUAGGCGGACUAUUAAGUCAGGGGUGAAAUCCCGGGGCUCAACCCCGGAACUGCCUUUGAUACUGGUAGUCUUGAGUUCGAGAGAGGUGAGUGGAAUUCCGAGUGUAGAGGUGAAAUUCGUAGAUAUUCGGAGGAACACUAGUGGCGAAGGCGGCUCACUGGCUCGAUACUGACGCUGAGGUGCGAAAGCGUGGGGAGCAAACAGG
RNAcentral lists this ribosomal RNA (404 nucleotides) under Actinomycetes bacterium. RNAcentral describes it as "Actinobacteria bacterium partial 16S ribosomal RNA". It matches the Rfam family "Bacterial small subunit ribosomal RNA", at positions 355 to 776 of the family's 1533-position model. Lineage: Bacteria; Bacillati; Actinomycetota; Actinomycetes. The record is from RNAcentral.